CUACGGGAGGCUCCAGUGAGGAAUAUUGCACAAUGGGGGGAACCAUGAUGCAGCAACGCCGCGUGGAGGAUGACGCAUUUCGGUGUGUAAACUCCUUUUAUAUGUCAAGAAAAUGACGGUAGCAUAUGAAUAAGCACCGGCUAACUCCGUGCCAGCAGCCGCGGUAAUAGGAGGGUGCAAGCGUGUACUCGGAAUCACUGGGCGUAAAGGACGCGUAGGCGGGUUGGAAAGUCAGGUGUGAAAUCCUACAGCUUAACUGUAGAACUGCACUUGAAACUUCUAAUCUAGAGUAUGGGAGGGGGAGAUGGAAUUAGUGGUGUAGGGGUAGAAUCCGUAGAUAUCACUAGGAAUACCUAAAGCGAAGGCGAUCUCCUGGAACAUUACUGACGCUAAGGCGUGAAAGCGUGGGGAGCAAACAGGAUUAGAUACCCCAGUAGUC
RNAcentral lists this ribosomal RNA (439 nucleotides) under uncultured bacterium. Its description in RNAcentral is "partial 16S ribosomal RNA". It matches the Rfam family "Bacterial small subunit ribosomal RNA", at positions 339 to 795 of the family's 1533-position model. The record is from RNAcentral.